Long non-coding RNA from Lemur catta (Ring-tailed lemur), 710 nucleotides. RefSeq lists it as uncharacterized. The record is from RefSeq and is a predicted model, not a curated record. NCBI's taxonomy places the organism in Eukaryota, Metazoa, Chordata, Mammalia, Primates, Lemuridae. The transcript is spliced from 3 exons.
GAACAGGAAUAAUGCCCACAGCCUGUCUUAUGGCACAAAAUGCAGGCAGGGAAGACAAGAAAUCAGCUCACCCGCGCUAAGCCCUGGGGACUGCUCGGCCAGGUGGUCUGGUUGGAAUUCAAGGAGGAUGUGUGGACACCAGACAGUGACCAGAGGUGCCCAGGAGGCCUCAGCUUCCCACUCUGGAGCCUGCCCGUUUGAUCAGAGGGCAGCGAAGGCAGCUUUGACCUUGCCGGGCAGCUUUGACCUCGCCGCACCUUCCUGAGCGCCGCUGGGGAAGUUCCGCAUGGAGAACCGGCCCCCACCUGCUGCCGUCUGAGAGCCGCGGGCCCCGCCAGGCCGCCCGUGCCGCUGCUGGACGAGUCUAAGUACCGGAAGUUCCUUCCUUAUGUCACAGCCCAGCACAAAUUUGAGGUGUAGACAGUGAAGAUGAUGCAUAGGUAGGUGACAGACAGACAGACGACAAUGAAUAGGUAAGUGCUGCAGAAAUGACCUCCCUGUGGCUGUGACCUUGUGUCGUGGUGACUCUCAGCCGGGCAGACAUACGGCACUCAGUGGAAGCACUGCUUGCUGGGGAACUAAGUACUCAGACCAAGGGCUCCAUGUUCUGGGACCUAACGCACCCCGAGGACAGCACUUUGAGAACCUGGUGGAGACUGGCUGGCACCCCUCUCACGGCUCUCCCCAGCCCCGCUCCCUGGGCCCCCGAC